Long non-coding RNA from Eriocheir sinensis (Chinese mitten crab), 360 nucleotides. RefSeq lists it as uncharacterized. The transcript is spliced from 3 exons. The record is from RefSeq and is a predicted model, not a curated record. Lineage: Eukaryota; Metazoa; Arthropoda; Malacostraca; Decapoda; Varunidae.
UGCAGCAACACGGCUUCUUACGGGGGAUGCCACCGGCGGUCCCCUGUCGUUCACUCAGGCGAGAUACUGCGUGGUGGUGGCUGAGGAUGCGGCACCCUCAGCCUCACUCGCCACCGUACGGGCCGUCCACAAGCAAGGCGCCGAGGUGAGGUACACGCUGACGCAGGGCAACAGGCAAGGGCUCUUCUCUGUCAGCCACGCCUCCGGGACCAUCACUCUGCAGGCGCCGCUUGACUACGAGGCCGCGGACAAGCAUGAGUUCGUGGUCCGCGGAGAGGGCGGCGGAUCGGCAGCGCACGCCUUGGUGAGGGUCUUGGUGGCUGACGUGAACGACAACCCUCCCGUGUUUGUACGACCAGG